GACCGUUUAGCUUAAUCGGGUAAAGCAGCCGGCUCAUAACCGGAAGAUAGCGAGUUCGAAUCUCGUGGCGGUCACCA
This 77-nucleotide transfer RNA is filed under the name Pasteurella multocida. RNAcentral describes it as "tRNA-Ile". It matches the Rfam family "tRNA". Rfam says of the family: Transfer RNA (tRNA) molecules are approximately 80 nucleotides in length. Their secondary structure includes four short double-helical elements and three loops (D, anti-codon, and T loops). Lineage: Bacteria; Pseudomonadati; Pseudomonadota; Gammaproteobacteria; Pasteurellales; Pasteurellaceae. The record is from RNAcentral. RNAcentral also lists the same sequence under 2 other names.